CGUGUGUGUUUUUAUCAGUUACCUACUUUUGUUAUCGGAUAACAAAACUAAGGGUAUGACAAAAAAAAUUUGGGUUUCGCUAGUUCGAUGUCGUAACGUCAUUACUAGAUCAGAGAGGUGUGGAGUGUGCAAUAACCUGCCAGGAUAUGUCAACAAAUAGAGGACAAGUUGCGGGGUUUUAAGCAGUAAAACAGCAGGGUGUGAGAUUUAAAGAACUAUCAAGAAAGUGUGUGAGUAGGAUCACCGUUUGGG
Long non-coding RNA from Physella acuta, 252 nucleotides. RefSeq lists it as uncharacterized. The record is from RefSeq and is a predicted model, not a curated record. Lineage: Eukaryota; Metazoa; Mollusca; Gastropoda; Physidae.